Molecule: ribosomal RNA, 2903 nt
Filed under: Escherichia coli
Lineage: Bacteria; Pseudomonadati; Pseudomonadota; Gammaproteobacteria; Enterobacterales; Enterobacteriaceae
Description: 23S ribosomal RNA
Rfam family: Bacterial large subunit ribosomal RNA
Source: RNAcentral
GGUUAAGCGACUAAGCGUACACGGUGGAUGCCCUGGCAGUCAGAGGCGAUGAAGGACGUGCUAAUCUGCGAUAAGCGUCGGUAAGGUGAUAUGAACCGUUAUAACCGGCGAUUUCCGAAUGGGGAAACCCAGUGUGAUUCGUCACACUAUCAUUAACUGAAUCCAUAGGUUAAUGAGGCGAACCGGGGGAACUGAAACAUCUAAGUACCCCGAGGAAAAGAAAUCAACCGAGAUUCCCCCAGUAGCGGCGAGCGAACGGGGAGCAGCCCAGAGCCUGAAUCAGUGUGUGUGUUAGUGGAAGCGUCUGGAAAGGCGCGCGAUACAGGGUGACAGCCCCGUACACAAAAAUGCACAUGCUGUGAGCUCGAUGAGUAGGGCGGGACACGUGGUAUCCUGUCUGAAUAUGGGGGGACCAUCCUCCAAGGCUAAAUACUCCUGACUGACCGAUAGUGAACCAGUACCGUGAGGGAAAGGCGAAAAGAACCCCGGCGAGGGGAGUGAAAAAGAACCUGAAACCGUGUACGUACAAGCAGUGGGAGCCUCUUUAUGGGGUGACUGCGUACCUUUUGUAUAAUGGGUCAGCGACUUAUAUUCUGUAGCAAGGUUAACCGAAUAGGGGAGCCGAAGGGAAACCGAGUCUUAACUGGGCGUUAAGUUGCAGGGUAUAGACCCGAAACCCGGUGAUCUAGCCAUGGGCAGGUUGAAGGUUGGGUAACACUAACUGGAGGACCGAACCGACUAAUGUUGAAAAAUUAGCGGAUGACUUGUGGCUGGGGGUGAAAGGCCAAUCAAACCGGGAGAUAGCUGGUUCUCCCCGAAAGCUAUUUAGGUAGCGCCUCGUGAACUCAUCUCCGGGGGUAGAGCACUGUUUCGGCAAGGGGGUCAUCCCGACUUACCAACCCGAUGCAAACUGCGAAUACCGGAGAAUGUUAUCACGGGAGACACACGGCGGGUGCUAACGUCCGUCGUGAAGAGGGAAACAACCCAGACCGCCAGCUAAGGUCCCAAAGUCAUGGUUAAGUGGGAAACGAUGUGGGAAGGCCCAGACAGCCAGGAUGUUGGCUUAGAAGCAGCCAUCAUUUAAAGAAAGCGUAAUAGCUCACUGGUCGAGUCGGCCUGCGCGGAAGAUGUAACGGGGCUAAACCAUGCACCGAAGCUGCGGCAGCGACGCUGAUGCGUUGUUGGGUAGGGGAGCGUUCUGUAAGCCUGUGAAGGUGUGCUGUGAGGCAUGCUGGAGGUAUCAGAAGUGCGAAUGCUGACAUAAGUAACGAUAAAGCGGGUGAAAAGCCCGCUCGCCGGAAGACCAAGGGUUCCUGUCCAACGUUAAUCGGGGCAGGGUGAGUCGACCCCUAAGGCGAGGCCGAAAGGCGUAGUCGAUGGGAAACAGGUUAAUAUUCCUGUACUUGGUGUUACUGCGAAGGGGGGACGGAGAAGGCUAUGUUGGCCGGGCGACGGUUGUCCCGGUUUAAGCGUGUAGGCUGGUUUUCCAGGCAAAUCCGGAAAAUCAAGGCUGAGGCGUGAUGACGAGGCACUACGGUGCUGAAGCAACAAAUGCCCUGCUUCCAGGAAAAGCCUCUAAGCAUCAGGUAACAUCAAAUCGUACCCCAAACCGACACAGGUGGUCAGGUAGAGAAUACCAAGGCGCUUGAGAGAACUCGGGUGAAGGAACUAGGCAAAAUGGUGCCGUAACUUCGGGAGAAGGCACGCUGAUAUGUAGGUGAAGUCCCUCGCGGAUGGAGCUGAAAUCAGUCGAAGAUACCAGCUGGCUGCAACUGUUUAUUAAAAACACAGCACUGUGCAAACACGAAAGUGGACGUAUACGGUGUGACGCCUGCCCGGUGCCGGAAGGUUAAUUGAUGGGGUCAGCGCAAGCGAAGCUCUUGAUCGAAGCCCCGGUAAACGGCGGCCGUAACUAUAACGGUCCUAAGGUAGCGAAAUUCCUUGUCGGGUAAGUUCCGACCUGCACGAAUGGCGUAAUGAUGGCCAGGCUGUCUCCACCCGAGACUCAGUGAAAUUGAACUCGCUGUGAAGAUGCAGUGUACCCGCGGCAAGACGGAAAGACCCCGUGAACCUUUACUAUAGCUUGACACUGAACAUUGAGCCUUGAUGUGUAGGAUAGGUGGGAGGCUUAGAAGUGUGGACGCCAGUCUGCAUGGAGCCGACCUUGAAAUACCACCCUUUAAUGUUUGAUGUUCUAACGUUGACCCGUAAUCCGGGUUGCGGACAGUGUCUGGUGGGUAGUUUGACUGGGGCGGUCUCCUCCUAAAGAGUAACGGAGGAGCACGAAGGUUGGCUAAUCCUGGUCGGACAUCAGGAGGUUAGUGCAAUGGCAUAAGCCAGCUUGACUGCGAGCGUGACGGCGCGAGCAGGUGCGAAAGCAGGUCAUAGUGAUCCGGUGGUUCUGAAUGGAAGGGCCAUCGCUCAACGGAUAAAAGGUACUCCGGGGAUAACAGGCUGAUACCGCCCAAGAGUUCAUAUCGACGGCGGUGUUUGGCACCUCGAUGUCGGCUCAUCACAUCCUGGGGCUGAAGUAGGUCCCAAGGGUAUGGCUGUUCGCCAUUUAAAGUGGUACGCGAGCUGGGUUUAGAACGUCGUGAGACAGUUCGGUCCCUAUCUGCCGUGGGCGCUGGAGAACUGAGGGGGGCUGCUCCUAGUACGAGAGGACCGGAGUGGACGCAUCACUGGUGUUCGGGUUGUCAUGCCAAUGGCACUGCCCGGUAGCUAAAUGCGGAAGAGAUAAGUGCUGAAAGCAUCUAAGCACGAAACUUGCCCCGAGAUGAGUUCUCCCUGACCCUUUAAGGGUCCUGAAGGAACGUUGAAGACGACGACGUUGAUAGGCCGGGUGUGUAAGCGCAGCGAUGCGUUGAGCUAACCGGUACUAAUGAACCGUGAGGCUUAACCUU